GUGCUCACUUCAGCAGCACAUAUACUAAAACUGGAACGAUACAGAGAAGAUUAGCAUGGCCCCUGUACAAGGAUGACACAUUCCAUAUUUUUUU
Molecule: small nuclear RNA, 94 nt
Filed under: Marmota monax (woodchuck)
Lineage: Eukaryota; Metazoa; Chordata; Mammalia; Rodentia; Sciuridae
Source: RNAcentral